Amblyraja radiata (thorny skate) is the source of this 702-nucleotide long non-coding RNA. RefSeq lists it as uncharacterized. NCBI's taxonomy places the organism in Eukaryota, Metazoa, Chordata, Chondrichthyes, Rajiformes, Rajidae. The record is from RefSeq and is a predicted model, not a curated record. The transcript has 2 exons.
UUCAUGUCCACUGUUCUUGUCCUUCUUGAGGUGAAGACCACAGGUUCGGGAGCUGCGGGGGAAAUAGCCUUGUCAAAUAUCCGCACUGUGUUUUGCAGAUCUUGCGUUGAAUUCAGUGCCCCAGAAGUGAAGGGAAUAAAUAUUCUGGGUGACUAAUGAGAUGACGGUUAAUCUGCUGAAUCCUGAAUAGUUGAUCGUAUAAGGUGACCCAGUUUCUCCAGUUUCACUUUUUAAAAUUCCAGUGCCAAUGUUGAACACCAGUGCCAAUCUCCAGACGGCAAGAGCUGGAAAGAGCUGUUAGUCGGAGCCAGUGAUGUUAAUACUGAAAGCUUCGUUUGGUCUGAAUGUCAUCGAGAAUCUGCUGGAGCUCCUCGUCCUCAAAUCGACCUUCCAAACUUAAAUUGAAGAAAUGGACAAAAGAGGAGGGUAGAGAAAAAGGCACACAUGAAUAUAUUGUAACAUUUGCAGACCCUUGUAAAUAAAAUCCAUACAUUUCCUACGCAUAAAGCCCCAAAACCUAAAACACAUUCAGCAAAUAUCACAGACCAACAUCAGGCCUAUUGAUUCCACACACAAUGUACUCCAUUCAAUGCCAUGUUGGAAAUCAAAGUAGAAAAUACUCAGCAUAGAGCAGCACCCGUAUCGAGGAUCUUUCAUCAGAGCAAAUGAAAAGUCAUCAACAUUAAACUGUUUUCCUCUUAA